Molecule: ribosomal RNA, 391 nt
Filed under: uncultured Anaplasma sp.
Lineage: Bacteria; Pseudomonadati; Pseudomonadota; Alphaproteobacteria; Rickettsiales; Anaplasmataceae
Description: bacterial SSU rRNA
Rfam family: Bacterial small subunit ribosomal RNA
Source: RNAcentral
UAAUACUGUAUAAUCCCUGCGGGGGAAAGAUUUAUCGCUAUUAGAUGAGCCUAUGUUAGAUUAGCUAGUUGGUAGGGUAAAGGCCUACCAAGGCAGUGAUCUAUAGCUGGUCUGAGAGGAUGAUCAGCCACACUGGAACUGAGAUACGGUCCAGACUCCUACGGGAGGCAGCAGUGGGGAAUAUUGGACAAUGGGCGAAAGCCUGAUCCAGCUAUGCCGCGUGAGUGAGGAAGGCCUUAGGGUUGUAAAACUCUUUCAGUGGGGAAGAUAAUGACGGUACCCACAGAAGAAGUCCCGGCAAACUCCGUGCCAGCAGCCGCGGUAAUACGGAGGGGGCAAGCGUUGUUCGGAAUUAUUGGGCGUAAAGGGCAUGUAGGCGGUUCGGUAAGUU